Papaver somniferum (opium poppy) is the source of this 1511-nucleotide RNA transcript. It is a transcript of the gene named probable 3-hydroxyisobutyrate dehydrogenase-like 1, mitochondrial, with no coding region annotated. Lineage: Eukaryota; Viridiplantae; Streptophyta; Magnoliopsida; Ranunculales; Papaveraceae. The transcript is spliced from 4 exons. The record is from RefSeq and is a predicted model, not a curated record.
CUGCAUUAUUAAGGAGGAUUCCUUAUUUUUUUCCAGAGAUAAGUCCACGUCUCACUCUUUGUACUCAACUCCAAAAAAAACCUAAUCACAAAUGCGAUCUUCUCUUUCAAAACUCUUCCGUCCUUGCACAAUAUCCAGAACAACGACCAUUUUCUCUCUCACUCACACUCUCAACAACCACCACCACCACCGCUCCAUGGCCACCACCACCACCACAACCGAUUCAAUCAAUCCAACAAACACAAGAAUCGGAUGGAUCGGAACAGGAGUAAUGGGAAGAUCCAUGUGUUCUCAUCUAAUCAAAGCUGGUUACUCACUGACAAUUUUCACUAGAACUCAAUCAAAAGCUCAACCUCUUCUUGAUAUGGGAGCUCACUUCGCUUCAUCUCCACUCUCAGUCGCUUCUUCUUCAGAUAUCGUCUUCUCAAUCGUCGGCUACCCAUCUGAUGUUCGUUCUGUCCUAAUCGGUUCUUCAGGCGCUCUGAAUUCUCUCCGUCCAGGCGGUAUACUCGUUGAUAUGACUACUAGUGACCCAUCUGUCGCAGUGGAGAUUGCCUCUGCUUCGUCCGCAAAGGGUUGUUUUGCAAUUGAUGCACCGGUAUCUGGUGGUGACCGUGGUGCGAAAAAUGGAACAUUGGCAAUAUUUGCAGGAGGCGAUGAAUCGGUAAUUCGUAAAAUUCAACCUGUUUUUGACUGUUUAGGGAAAGUUAAUUAUAUGGGUGGUGCUGGUAAAGGGCAAUUUGCUAAAUUAGCAAACCAGAUUACGAUUGCUUCAACCAUGGUCGGAUUAGUUGAGGGUAUGGUUUAUGCUCAUAGAGCUGGUUUGGAUGUUAGUCUGUAUUUGAAUGCUAUUUCUACUGGUGCUGCUGGAUCGAAAUCGUUGGAUUUAUAUGGGAAUAGGAUAUUGGGAAGAGAUUUUGAAGCGGGGUUUUUUGUGAAUCAUUUUGUCAAAGACUUGGGUAUUUGCAUUAUGGAGUGUCAGAAUAUGGGUCUUGCUUUACCUGGUUUGGCACUAGCUCAUCAGCUUUACAUUUCUCUUCAAGCUCAUGGUGAAGGGAAUUUGGGUACUCAGGCUCUCAUUUUAGCUCUUGAGCGACUUAAUAAUGUUAGUUUGGAAACGAAGAAGGCUUCGUCUUCUUAGUUUCGAGUAAGGUGAAUUUUUGCUGGAGUUCUUAGUGGAAUACAAGCAUGGUUGUUGCAUUUAUCAGCUCUCAACAGUCUCUGCUGCUUCUCGUGCUAUCCAACCUGUUGAUACUGCUGCCAACCUGAUUCUGUGGUUUUUCUUCUAUUUGGGUUUGGGAGAUGCGCGGACAUCACAAUUUGGACACCUACCAACUACUCUCUCUUCCGCUACUGCCAUACGUCUGCACCAACUGAUUUAUUGCUGCUGGUGCUUGCUGAAUGUUCCGCACAUUUAUCCAACUGUUGAUAUAUUGUCUGUUACACCAACUGGACCGUGAAAACCUUUUCUCGUUGCAACAAGAAUCCAGGAAACAAAAACCCUUACAGAA